RNAcentral lists this ribosomal RNA (436 nucleotides) under uncultured Sphingopyxis sp. RNAcentral's name for it is "bacterial SSU rRNA". It matches the Rfam family "Bacterial small subunit ribosomal RNA", at positions 8 to 492 of the family's 1533-position model. Lineage: Bacteria; Pseudomonadati; Pseudomonadota; Alphaproteobacteria; Sphingomonadales; Sphingopyxidaceae. The record is from RNAcentral.
AGAGUUUGAUCAUGGCUCAGAACGAACGCUGGCGGCAUGCCUAACACAUGCAAGUCGAACGAGACCUUCGGGUCUAGUGGCGCACGGGUGCGUAACGCGUGGGAAUCUGCCCUAGGGUGCGGAAUAACUCGGAGAAAUCCGUGCUAAUACCGCAUAAUGUCUUCGGACCAAAGAUUUAUCGCCCUGGGAUGAGCCCGCGUAAGAUUAGCUAGUUGGUGGGGUAAAGGCCUACCAAGGCGACGAUCUUUAGCUGGUCUGAGAGGAUGAUCAGCCACACUGGGACUGAGACACGGCCCAGACUCCUACGGGAGGCAGCAGUGGGGAAUAUUGGACAAUGGGCGAAAGCCUGAUCCAGCAAUGCCGCGUGAGUGAUGAAGGCCCUAGGGUUGUAAAGCUCUUUUACCCGGGAUGAUAAUGACAGUACCGGAGAAUAGUC